Molecule: small nucleolar RNA, 163 nt
Organism: Zingiber officinale
Lineage: Eukaryota; Viridiplantae; Streptophyta; Magnoliopsida; Zingiberales; Zingiberaceae
Product: small nucleolar RNA snoR143
Exons: 1
Source: RefSeq, a predicted model, not a curated record
UUGCACCUUUUGAUAGAAAAGGUUCCUCUAGUUGUUUGUGGAUCCUUGAUUCAAGGUGCACAAAGAAAAUGCUGUUCUACAGCAGCGGCCAGACAACCGUAGAGAUGGAUCCACUGAUGUUUAGUUGACAAUACUAUUCAUCUACUAAAUCUUUCUCACAUUC